Molecule: transfer RNA, 72 nt
Filed under: Ictidomys tridecemlineatus (thirteen-lined ground squirrel)
Lineage: Eukaryota; Metazoa; Chordata; Mammalia; Rodentia; Sciuridae
Description: Spermophilus tridecemlineatus (thirteen-lined ground squirrel) tRNA
Rfam family: tRNA
About the family: Transfer RNA (tRNA) molecules are approximately 80 nucleotides in length.
Source: Rfam by way of RNAcentral
GGUGCUGGGGCUCAGUGGUGGAGCGCUUGCCUAGCAUGUGUGAGGCACUGGGUUCGAUUCCCAGCACCACGU